UGGCCGGUGAAGGUGCGGGGUGACCCAGUGCUGGAGGCUAUGCGAGUGAGAAUGCAGGCAUGAGUAGCGAUUGAUGAGUGAGAAACUCAUCCGCCGAAUGACUAAGGGUUCCUGGGUCAAGUUUGUCUUCCCAGGGUGAGUCGGGGCCUAAGGCGAGGCCGACAGGCGUAGUCGAUGGUUAACGGGUUGAUAUUCCCGUACCCGAGCAUGUGCGAAAGGAGAUGAGGCGGUGAGACUAACCACCCUGAAGGACUGUCGGUGCAUCUUUGGUGUGCUGGUGGUGUGGAUGCGUGGGACCUGAUCCGUAGUAGUCUAGUGAUGGGGUGACGCAGUGAGGUAGCCGAGCCACUUAUUGGAUUGUGGUGUAAGCGUGUGGCCCGUGUCCCAGGUAAAUCCGGGGCGCAUACAGGGUGAGGCGUGAUGCGUACCCUUUUGUGGGGAUGUCGGUGAUCCUGUGCUGUCGAGAAAAGCCUCUAGCGAGUGCGUGUUCGGCCCGUACCCUAAACCGACACAGGUGGUCUGGUAGAGUAUACCGAGGCGUUCGGGUGAACUGUGGUUAAGGAAUUCGGCAAAAUGCCCCCGUAACUUCGGGAGAAGGGGGGCCCGUGCUGGUCGCAGCCUUUUGCGGGUUGUUGGCUGGUGUGGGUCGCAGAGAAUAGAGGGAAGCGACUGUUUACUAAAAACACAGGUCCGUGCGAAGACGGUAAGUCGAUGUAUACGGACUGACGCCUGCCCGGUGCUGGAAGGUUAAGAGGACCUGUUAGGGCUUUGGCCCGAAGCGGAGAAUUUAAGCCCCAGUAAACGGCGGUGGUAACUAUAACCAUCCUAAGGUAGCGAAAUUCCUUGUCGGGUAAGUUCCGACCUGCACGAAUGGCGUAACGACUUCUCUGCUGUCUCAACCACAGGCCCGGCGAAAUUGCAGUACGAGUAAAGAUGCUCGUUACGCGCGGCAGGACGAAAAGACCCCGGGACCUUCACUAUAGCUUGGUAUUGGUGUUCGGUUCGGUUUGUGUAGGAUAGGUGGGAGACUGUGAAGCGGCUACGCCAGUGGUUGUGGAGUCGUUGUUGAAAUACCACUCUGAUCGUAUUGGAUGUCUGAACCUCGGCCCGUGAUCCGGGUCAGGGACAGUGCCUGGUGGGUAGUUUAACUGGGGCGGUUGCCUCCCAAAGUGUAACGGAGGCGCCCAAAGGUUCCCUCAGCCUGGUUGGUAAUCAGGUGUUGAGUGUAAGUGCACAAGGGAGCUUGACUGUGAGACUGACAGGUCGAGCAGGGACGAAAGUCGGGACUAGUGAUCCGGCACCGGCUUGUGGAAGCGGUGUCGCUCAACGGAUAAAAGGUACCCCGGGGAUAACAGGCUGAUCUUCCCCAAGAGUCCAUAUCGACGGGAUGGUUUGGCACCUCGAUGUCGGCUCGUCGCAUCCUGGGGCUGGAGUUGGUCCCAAGGGUUGGGCUGUUCGCCCAUUAAAGCGGCACGCGAGCUGGGUUUAGAACGUCGUGAGACAGUUCGGUCUCUAUCCGCCGUGCGCGUUGAAACUUGAGAAAGGCUGACCCUAGUACGAGAGGACCGGGUUGGACGUACCUCUGGUGGGCCAGUUGUCACGCCCGUGGCAUUGCUGGUUGGCUACGUACGGGAGGGAUAACCGCUGAAAGCAUCUAAGCGGGAAGCCUGUUUCGAGAUGAGGUUUCGUGUGAGGUUCCCUGUAGACGACGGGGUUGAUAGGCCGGAUCUGGAAGCCAUGUGAGUGGUGGAGGUGACCGGUACUAAUUGACCGAACAUUACACAUGA
RNAcentral lists this ribosomal RNA (1787 nucleotides) under Wolbachia endosymbiont of Drosophila chauvacae. RNAcentral's name for it is "partial 23S ribosomal RNA". It matches the Rfam family "Bacterial large subunit ribosomal RNA", at positions 1244 to 2925 of the family's 2925-position model. Lineage: Bacteria; Pseudomonadati; Pseudomonadota; Alphaproteobacteria; Rickettsiales; Anaplasmataceae. The record is from RNAcentral.